CAGCAGCCGCGGGAAUACGUAGGUGGCAAGCGUUGUCCGGAAUUAUUGGGCGUAAAGGGCUCGCAGGCGGUUUCUUAAGUCUGAUGUGAAAGCCCCCGGCUCAACCGGGGAGGGUCAUUGGAAACUGGGAAACUUGAGUGCAGAAGAGGAGAGUGGAAUUCCACGUGUAGCGGUGAAAUGCGUAGAGAUGUGGAGGAACACCAGUGGCGAAGGCGACUCUCUGGUCUGUAACUGACGCUGGGGAGCGAAAGCGUGGGGAGCGAACAGGAUUAGAUACCCCUGUAGUCCCUGUCUCUUAUAC
RNAcentral lists this ribosomal RNA (301 nucleotides) under uncultured bacterium. RNAcentral describes it as "partial 16S ribosomal RNA". It matches the Rfam family "Bacterial small subunit ribosomal RNA", at positions 509 to 807 of the family's 1533-position model. The record is from RNAcentral.